ACCACUAAAUUUCAAACUCACGUAUCACUUGUUUUAAUUGGUAUAUUCAUUCACAUAUUACAUAUAAAAAGUUUUUUUUUAACAGAAACAUAUCCUAUUCAUCUUUCCAUAAGGUACACUUUGGUUUGAGGGAGUUUACAAAGAGUGCUACUACUCCCUACUCCAGAUUUGAAGCGGCCCUCUAUCUAAAAGAUGAGGUAAAUACAAAUAUAAAGCUUGGAUAUCCUGGUUACUAGGAUUAACAACAUGAUAUCCAAGUUAACAUAAGGUGUAACUAUAGUUACAAAAGAAGAAAAAGAUACACCAUUUAAGGUGGCUCCCCGAUAAUAUCAUGUUUCCUCUUCUUGAAUGUUCUGAACGUGUGGAUACCCCAUUUAUCCACUGUCAUGAGCCCUUUAACCUGUAUAGGGAGGUCUUCAAAAUCAACGUGCAUAUUGUUGUUCUGAUCGCUGUGAUAAUUUAUCGGCGACGUAGUUAGCUUUUCUAUAACAAUGUUGAAGAAUAUAUCCAUUCGAACUCAUAUGCCUCUUCAGUUCAUCAACUUCUUUCCGUAACCUCCCAGGGGUACUGCUGAGGUCAUUAACACAAUCUACAAGCAGUUUUGAAUCGUUUUCAGCUAUGAUAAAGUCAUGUCCAUUAUUUAUGCACCAUCUUAUACCAAACAUGAGUGAGUAGGCUUUAGACCUAAUUGCUACUUCCUUUUCCCAGCUUCAGAGAAUAGGCAAAAACAAGAUUACCAACAUGAUCUCUUACUAUUCCCCCUCCUCCACAUAUUUUAUUUUUGCUGCUUCCAUCAGAGUUAAGCUUAACAAAACCGAUAAAUGGUUUAAUCCAUUUAACCAUAACAAUCUUUUUUGAGUUGAUGUUGCUUCCCAUGAGCUAUACAAUGCUAUCCCAAUUCGGAAUUCACCUGAACCUUUUUAAAAUUAUUAUUGAUCAAUUGGGAGAUGGUGUUAGAAAUGUUAGUAAUAGAUGUCUUUCCUUUCCAUAUUUGGCUCCACAUUUUGCUCUCCAUAGUUCCCAUAUAAUAAUAGUUGGGAUACACCUUGCCAUAAACACGAUAACAACAUUUUUAGAUUUUCAUUUUCACUAGUUCAUAAGGAGCUGCCUCAGGGGAAUGUUGGAGAAGGGGAUGCCCAUCAGACCACAAAUGAUCCUCCAAACAUCUUGAGCAUAAUUGCAUGUACAAAAAAGAUAAUUCAAUAUUUUCUUCUUUUGGAACUCUGUAGCAACAACAUUUUGAUGGAAUAGCAAUUCUUAUUUUGGCAAUCCUAGUAUCAAUGGGAAUUAUGUCCCUCAGUGCUCACCAUAAGAUAAAAUUCAUCUUGAAAGGAAUGAAUGGCCCUAGUAAUGUCUGGUGCCAUUAUAGUCCAACAUGACUAGAAGAAUUUUGCUGAGUAACUAUCUGGCCCUGGUGCACUCUCAGGGUCUAUAGUGAAGAAGUUAUCCUUAAUCUCCUCUUCAGAGAGCAAUUCAACUAGGAGAUUAUUAUUUUCUUCAUCAAUCACAUUAGUAAUGCAAGACAAGUCCUCAAAAUUAUUAUAGUCUGGAAUUUGACUAAAAAUGCCUUUGAAAUAUCUUACAGCAACUUCUGAGACAUCUUUAUUGCCCUCCACCCAAAUAUGGUUCUCAUUCAUGAUCUUAUUGAUGCAAAGUCUUCUCAUUUUAUCCUUAAUAACUUUGUGAAAAUAUGUAGUGUUGUAAUCCCCUUCAUUUAACCAUCUUACCCUAGCUUUCUGCUUUAGAAUAGCUUCUUUAGUCUUAAGGAAUUGCACAUAUUAAGCCUUUGUCUUGUUGAGAUUGCUUCUAUUAUGAGGGGUGUUAUUGGCUAAAAAUUAUUGCUCAAGGAUAUCAAUGUCGGCUUUCAUCUUUUUAGGAUCUUUGUAGAUACAACCAUAAGCUUCUUUCGACCACAUACUGAGUUUGGUAGUAGUCUUUUUCAAUUGAAGAGUCCAUGUGAGAUUUCCUUGACAAUCUUCAUCCCACACACUUUUAACCACUUCCUGAAAUUGGGAGUGUUCUGUCCACAUAAUAUAGAACUUAAAAUACCCGACAAACUCCUUUUUAUUUCUGUUGAACUGAAGUAAUAGUAGAGCAUGAUAAGAACAAGCCCUUGCCAGAUGGGUCACAUAAGUGUUGUUGAAAAGAUUUAACCACUAUGAGUUGUACAUAACUCUGUCAAGUCUUUUCCAUAUAGUAGCGAGAGCUUCUCUAUUAUUACACAAAGUAUGCAUAUUCUCAGUAAAACCAGCAUCUUAUAAUCCACAGUUCUCCAUACAAUUGAUAAAGUCAAAACUUUUGUCAAUCUUAUAGGGAGUACCUCUGUCCUUUUCAAUAGCUUCCGCCUUCCAGUAUUACAUUAAAAUCACCUAUGAUACUCCACGAACCUGUUAGGGAAUUGGACAGUAGCACUAACUCUUCCCAUAGUUCUUUCCUCAUAGCAGUUCUACAUUUCGCAUAAACACAAGUGAUAUGAAUCUCUUCACUUGUGCUCGAGUGAUUAAUUCUACAAGUCGCAUAUUGAUUAGUAUCUUUAAUGACAUUAACUGUAAAGUUAUUAGACUAGAUUAACCAGAUUUUGGUGUUAAUGUUGUAUUAGCAAUAUUGUAUUUUUAGUACUUUCAUAUAGUUUGGCAAAUAUUCAGUUUGCACAAAGGGUUCUUGAAGACUUAUAAAAAUGAUAUUGUAUCUAUUUUUUAUAGUCUUGAGUCUUUCGAAAGCACUUAAAGUCCUUACACUCCUAAUAUUCCAUGAUAAAGUAUUAAUCAUUGGAAAUUAUGAGUGUUAGAUCUAUGCAUAUCCUUUGUAGCUUCAUUGUGCCCUCUUACUUUAUCCUGUCCAUCACGGUUCAAGUUAAAGUUAUCAGGGGCCAGUUGGAUGGAAAAAGAGGCCAGUUGUCACUCUUGUGUCAUCAUCACAUCUGAAACUCUUUUUUUCACAUUUUGAUCUUUCAUGGCAUAACUUGUAUCACUGACAACCACAAUUUCAUUGACAUCAUGAAAUUGAUCCUCCUCCAUUUCAACUUCAGACUCAGAUUCAUAAUGACUAUAUUCAUUUGUUUCUUGUAUUUGUAGGGGGACUUGAUUUGAAAUUCAAAGGUACCAUUUCCUAAUGGUUGUGGAUCAGGUGGCUUCUCUGGGACAACCUCAUAUGGAGUAACAUUUUUCCUACUUAGAUUAUUUAUUUUAGUAACUUCAUCGGUGUUCAUUUGAUCUGUUGAUUUAAGAGUUUUAUAAGCAAACAUAUUAUCCACCUUGGCAUCUAUACUAGUUUGAGUAUGUUGAUUGUAACAUUCUUUGGUUUCUUCUUUCUAAAAACCUUAUUCUUUCUUAGAGAUUCCUUUUAUGCUCUUUGCUCUUCUCUCAUAUGGUGGAUUUGUAGUUUCAGCCUGCUUAUUUUGUGCUCUCUUUCUUCUUAUUUGGUAUUUAUGAUCCACUCUCCUGUAUAAAUCUAAUGGGAGUAAUAACCUUUUUUUUUCUUUAGAUGUCUCAUUUUUGUUUCCUCCUUGAGCAGUAAAUGUGAUGCCAAAGACAUUGAUUUCCUUGGCACUUCCUGCAGUAUUCACUUAUGUAGUCUCCUUUUGAGUAGUUUUAGUAUCCUUGAAGGAUUCACCUAUUGCCUAAUUUUGCAGAACUAGAGCUAGAGUUGAAGUGUCUUUUUCUUUUUCUUUACCUUUAGUCACUGUUUUCCAACCUUCCUCCUCAUCAUUGUGGUCAUUUAAACCAUGAUUCUUAAGCAUAUGUCUUGUUCUUUCUUUUUUUCUUCCUUCUUUUCCUCAUGUGUAUCAUUGUUGUUAGUACCCUUGUUACUCUUUAUGUUGUUGCCUCUAUCAUCUUUGGAAGGGGCUUCUGGCUUUUGUUGAUUCUCAUAUUUCUUCUGAAUAUUUCUUAGCUCUGGUGCAUGAUUCUACAAUUUGCAUCAUUAUGACCUUGAGCUCUGCAAUGCUAACAAUACUCUAGGACAUUUUCAUAUUCCACCUUCUGGGAGAAGGAUUCUAAAUCUCCAUUCUCAUUCGCAAAUUUGAUUUGUACUUCUUCCACUUAUGGUCUAGUGAUAUAAAUCUCAACCUUUUUCUUAGCAGUAGUCGGUCUUGUCUUAGCAAGGGUUGCCUUGUCAGAUACAAUAGGGAUACCAGCAGGUGCGAUAAUCUGACACAAAGCAUCCCACUCAAAGUAGUGCCACUUCAAGUCUGUGAGAUUAAUCCAGACUACAGAUAGAGUGGUUUCAACAUUUGGUUUGAAAUUAUACUUUCAGGUUGAGAGUUUUACUUGCAUAUUACGGAGAGCGAUAAAGGUCCUACCAUACGCACUCCUUUGAUCCUCCUCAAGGUCAAAAUCAAUAAAUGUGUGAUAUAGAUCAAAAGCCCCUAUCUUGACAGCUGCUUUAAGAGGGAUAUUUUUCUGAAAAUUAGUGCGAUUUUUUUUCAAUUGAGGGACGAAUUCAAGAAAACUUACCUAUAAUCGUAAGUUUACAGGUGAUCGCAAGUAAGGUUGUGCAUGGAUCAGUUCGGAUCAGAUUUAGCACAUUUCGGAUUGAAAAUUUAGAUUUUGGAUUCUACAAAAUACAAUUCGAAUCCGAUCCGAAUUAAUAUCGGAUCACAUCAGAUUUUAAAGU
Molecule: long non-coding RNA, 4614 nt
Filed under: Nicotiana tabacum (common tobacco)
Lineage: Eukaryota; Viridiplantae; Streptophyta; Magnoliopsida; Solanales; Solanaceae
Description: long non-coding RNA (NTAB_LNC007430)
Source: RNAcentral